Molecule: ribosomal RNA, 376 nt
Filed under: uncultured bacterium
Lineage: Bacteria
Description: partial 16S ribosomal RNA
Rfam family: Bacterial small subunit ribosomal RNA
Source: RNAcentral
CCUACGGGUGGCAGCAGUGAGGAAUAUUGCACAAUGGGCUAACGCCUGAUGCAGCAACGCCGCGUGAGCGAUGAAGGCCUUCGGGUCGUAAAGCUCUGUCCUCAAGGGAGCUAAGGACGGUACGUGUGGAGGAAGCCCCGGCUAACUACGUGCCAGCAGCCGCGGUAAUACGUAGGGGGCUAGCGUUAUCCGGAAUUACUGGGCGUAAAGGGGGCGUAGGUGGGUUGUUAAGUCAGCGGUGAAAGGGCACGGCUCAACCGUACUAAGCCUUUGAAACUGGGGUACUUGAGUGGACGAGAGGAGUGUGGAAUUCGUAGUGUAGCGGUGAAAUGCGUAGAUAUUACGAGGAACUCCGAUUGCGAAGGCGGCACUCUGG